GGGGAAUAUUGCACAAUGGAGGAAACUCUGAUGCAGCGAUGCCGCGUGAGGGAAGAAGGUUUUAGGAUUGUAAACCUCUGUCUUCAGGGACGAAAAAAGACGGUACCUGAGGAGGAAGCUCCGGCUAACUACGUGCCAGCAGCCGCGGUAAUACGUAGGGAGCGAGCGUUGUCCGGAAUUACUGGGUGUAAAGGGAGCGCAGGCGGGAUCGCAAGUCAGAUGUGAAAACUAUGGGCUUAACCCAUAAACUGCAUUUGAAACUGUGGUUCUUGAGUGAAGUAGAGGUAAGCGGAAUUCCUAGUGUAGCGGUGAAAUGCGUAGAUAUUAGGAGGAACAUCAGUGGCGAAGGCGGCUUACUGGGCUUUAACUGACGCUGAGGCUCGAAAGCGUGGGGAGCAAACAGGAUUAGAUACCCUGGUAGUCCACGCCGUAAACGAUGAUUACUAGGUGUGGGGGGAC
Molecule: ribosomal RNA, 459 nt
Filed under: uncultured bacterium
Lineage: Bacteria
Description: bacterial SSU rRNA
Rfam family: Bacterial small subunit ribosomal RNA
Source: RNAcentral